This 368-nucleotide ribosomal RNA is filed under the name Entamoeba histolytica. Its description in RNAcentral is "SSU rRNA". It matches the Rfam family "Eukaryotic small subunit ribosomal RNA", at positions 1108 to 1439 of the family's 1831-position model. Lineage: Eukaryota; Evosea; Mastigamoebida; Endamoebidae. The record is from RNAcentral.
UGGACUUCAGGGGGAGUAUGGUCACAAGGCUGAAACUUAAAGGAAUUGACGGAAGGGCACACCAGGAGUGGAGCCUGCGGCUUAAUUUGACUCAACACGGGAAAACUUACCAAGACCGAACAGUAGAAGGAAUGACAGAUUAAGAGUUCUUUCAUGAUUUAUUGGGUAGUGGUGCAUGGCCGUUCUUAGUUGGUGGAGUGAUUUGUCAGGUUAAUUCCGGUAACGAACGAGACUGAAACCUAUUAAUUAGUUUUCUGCCUAUAAGACAGAAAUGUUCGCAAGAACAGGUGCGUAAGUACCACUUCUUAAAGGGACACAUUUCAAUUGUCCUAUUUUAAUUGUAGUUAUCUAAUUUCGGUUAGACCUCU